Molecule: ribosomal RNA, 553 nt
Filed under: Anaplasma bovis
Lineage: Bacteria; Pseudomonadati; Pseudomonadota; Alphaproteobacteria; Rickettsiales; Anaplasmataceae
Description: bacterial SSU rRNA
Rfam family: Bacterial small subunit ribosomal RNA
Source: RNAcentral
GGUAGCCUCUAUGAGAACAAUUAGUGGCAGACGGGUGAGUAAUGCAUAGGAAUCUACCUAGUAGUAUAGGAUAGCCACUAGAAAUGGUGGGUAAUACUGUAUAAUCCCUGCGGGGGAAAGAUUUAUCGCUACAUGAUGAGCCUAUGUUAGAUUAGCUAGUUGGUGGGGUAAUGGCCUACCAAGGCAGUGAUCUAUAGCUGGUCUGAGAGGAUGAUCAGCCACACUGGAACUGAGACACGGUCCAGACUCCUACGGGAGGCAGCAGUGGGGAAUAUUGGACAAUGGGCGCAAGCCUGAUCCAGCUAUGCCGCGUGAGUGAGGAAGGCCUUAGGGUUGUAAAACUCUUUCAGUGGGGAAGAUAAUGACGGUACCCACAGAAGAAGUCCCGGCAAACUCCGUGCCAGCAGCCGCGGUAAUACGGAGGGGGCAAGCGUUGUUCGGAAUUAUUGGGCGUAAAGGGCAUGUAGGUGGUUUGGUAAGUUAAAGGUGAAAUGCCAGGGCUUAACCCUGGAGCUGCUUUUAAUACUGCCAGACUGGAGUCCCGGGGAGAAGA